Molecule: ribosomal RNA, 465 nt
Filed under: uncultured bacterium
Lineage: Bacteria
Description: partial 16S ribosomal RNA
Rfam family: Bacterial small subunit ribosomal RNA
Source: RNAcentral
GACGAACGCUGGCGGCGUGCUUAACACAUGCAAGUCGAACGGAAAGGCCCUGCUUGCAGGGUACUCGAGUGGCGAACGGGUGAGUAACACGUGGGUGAUCUGCCCUGCACUUCGGGAUAAGCCUGGGAAACUGGGUCUAAUACCUGAUAGUAGCCAUUUUUAUUGUGAUGGUUGGAAAGUUUUUUCGGUGUAGGAUGAGCUCGCGGCCUAUCAGCUUUUUGGUGGGGUAAUGGCCUACCAAGGCGGCGACGGGUAGCCGGACUGGGAGGGUGGACGGCCAAAUUGGGACUGAGAAAAGGCCGAGACUGAUAAGGGAGGCAGCAGGGGGGAAGAAUGAAAAAUGGGCGCAAGCCUGAUGCAGCGAAGCCGCGGGGGGGAGGACGGCCUUCGGGUUGGAAACUCCUUUCGCUAGGGACGAAGCUUUUUGUGACGGUAACUAGAUAAGAAGCACCGGCUAACUACGUG